RNAcentral lists this ribosomal RNA (526 nucleotides) under uncultured bacterium. RNAcentral's name for it is "bacterial SSU rRNA". It matches the Rfam family "Bacterial small subunit ribosomal RNA", at positions 777 to 1304 of the family's 1533-position model. The record is from RNAcentral.
AAUAGAUACCCGGGUAGUCCACGCCGUAAACGAUGAGUGCUAAGUGUUAGAGGGUUUCCGCCCUUUAGUGCUGAAGUUAACGCAUUAAGCACUCCGCCUGGGGAGUACGGCCGCAAGGCUGAAACUCAAAGGAAUUGACGGGGGCCCGCACAAGCGGUGGAGCAUGUGGUUUAAUUCGAAGCAACGCGAAGAGCCUUACCAGGUCUUGACAUCCUCUGACAACCCUAGAGAUAGGGCUUCUCCUUCGGGAGCAGAGUGACAGGUGGUGCAUGGUUGUCGUCAGCUCGUGUCGUGAGAUGUUGGGUUAAGUCCCGCAACGAGCGCAACCCUUGAUCUUAGUUGCCAUCAUUAAGUUGGGCACUCUAAGGUGACUGCCGGUGACAAACCGGAGGAAGGUGGGGAUGACGUCAAAUCAUCAUGCCCCUUAUGACCUGGGCUACACACGUGCUACAAUGGACGGUACAAAGAGCUGCAAGACCGCGAGGUGGAGCUAAUCUCAUAAAGCCGUCUCAGUUCGGAUUGCACU